AGGAACAAUGCUGAGUCGAAUCC
RNAcentral lists this non-coding RNA (23 nucleotides) under Arabidopsis thaliana (thale cress). Lineage: Eukaryota; Viridiplantae; Streptophyta; Magnoliopsida; Brassicales; Brassicaceae. The record is from RNAcentral.